Megachile rotundata (alfalfa leafcutting bee) is the source of this 4234-nucleotide long non-coding RNA. The record is from RefSeq and is a predicted model, not a curated record. Lineage: Eukaryota; Metazoa; Arthropoda; Insecta; Hymenoptera; Megachilidae.
GUGUUUGUUACUUGGCCUGCUUUCGUAAACGAUCAGCCGUUUUUCCAAAUUGUCAUCAAUGAUAGCUGUGUUGCUGCGGCGUCUUACUAGCGAUCUCAGCGGCCCAUCGCGCGGAGACGAUCGCGAUUUGACUGACGAAGACGCGAAGCGUCGCUUAGAGAGGCGUCCUAUCCCCACCGUACGCCACCUCUAUUUACACGCUACGUUCCUCUGUGCACGUGCAAACGAUUCGCACGCGUGUGUACCGGCGAUCGCGCGUACAUACAUAUACACGUACUUAUGUGCGGGGUUGCAAGCGAGCGUGUACAUACGUGCAAUAGGAACACCCAAGUGUAUCCCCACCACUGAUUUACACGCCAAACGUAACUUAGCUGGCCAUGUGACGUGACGAUGAUGCGUCGCGAACAUGCAAAUUAACGUUCUUACUCGAAUCACUGUUUCUCGAUGUAAAUGAACCCCGUGUUAACUUUCUUAUCGACGCGACCGAGAUUUUUCACGAUUUUAUUCGAGCUUCGGGAACGUGAUAUCGCGCUAUUAAUUGAAAUUUAUAGCGUUCGACUUAUCGCGUUAACCGGUACGUCGAAGUUACUGAAAAUUUCAUCGUAUCGCAGAAUAUCGUCCUAAAAUAGCCACAGAAUUGUUCCGUGAUUCUCGAGUAGUUUAUAAUCGGCGAUUAAGUUAACGCUGUUCGCAGAAUCCUAUGGUUUUUCUCUGUACGUACAUUGUUAGCCUAAACGAAAGACGUUGUGUUUGAAUCGGAUAAAAGGCGUAUACGUAUUAGGCGAGGCCGGUCCGUUUGAAAAGGAAACGAUUAAAAGGGGCAGGGAAAAAGGUCUACGAUCAAAUUUCAAGAAGGAUGUCGGCGCAAGGAUAGCGGCUCCUAUCGCACCCGCAGCGAUACUCGUCACGGAUAGGAAUAUUUCGUCGAGGGUGCUGUUUCGAAAAACCGUGUGUAUGCCGAUCGGUUUUCUUCUCUCAUGGUCCGUUGAUCCCCACCGAGUGAAAUGGAUCAAUGAAUGCACGGGGUAACAGUUGUAACCGACAUUCAUCGUGUGGUCUGAGGUUCUGCGAUCAUUACCGUGCUACGAGGACAAUUAUUGAAAUGAUUCACGAUGGAAACUUUCAAUUAGAUAGAAAACAUAAGAUUGAAACACGCAAAUAUACGUUUGAUCAAAUAACCAGGCUUUAAAGAAGAAAAUUGUCUUCAACCAGCUUGAAGACGGGGGCGAAUGAGAUGUGGGAAACGCGAAUAGAGUCUUGAUCGCCCGUAGCAACGUCCACCGAGUGGAUCAUCAGUGAUAAUGGAUCAAAACAAUGAAUACGAAUGAUCACGUAUAGACGUGUCUGAAAGCAUCUGGAUGACCGUGAUGUCGAAAUAACCGACACCUAUUACAGAUAUACUGUCAGUGCACACGUUCUUUAUUACUGUUAUAACAUUACAUUAUACGUCACAUCAUGACUAGUUACAAUAUUUCCAGCCCUUAGCCCUUCUGUACCUCCGUUCUGUGCCCACAGGGUAAACAAUAGUAAACCGUUCAUGACGAUGAUGUACAAGACUGCCAUAAAAGGAAUUAGAACUAAACUGAGAUGAGAAGUACCGGAAUUACAGAUUUAUGCUAAUCGGAUACUUAUUAAUAUUGUUACGGGGAAUUGGAUCGCUGCUAUCCCGUAGACGUUGCGCCAUUUUCAAUGCUCAGAAGCACUCGAUAGACGUGCAGGAAUGUCGGCUCAUAACUGACACCCUACACAAUCGAGUUCUCGUUUUAUUUAAUUAGGCAACGCAUCAGCAAAGAAAAUCAAGUGGAAAUAUGAACGAUAAUGCUGUAUGAACUAUCCAGGCGACGAAUACACAUUUCUCUAUAGAUCGCGUGAAAGUAUUAUAGUAAACGAGAAAAAUGGAAUAUAGUAUGGGGAAAUAACGAGUCUGACUAAACGUACAUAAACGUGCGAUCCGGUAUAUAACAUUGGGCAGAGGCCUCGCCCUGAGCAUCCGUUUUCCACUGGCCUACUAAAAUCCACGUCGUGUAUGAAAAUAGAACUGUCAUAGUGGCAAGAGAAGAGCUAGUCGAUUCGUAGAUUAGAAACGAAAGGAGGAGUCCGAACAGAAAGAACGAUAAAACGUUGCAAUCGGUGGAUCGAAUCGAAGGAAGGAACUAAAACGAUGAUGUAUGAUGGAAAUUGGAUGAACGGGAAGGACGAACGUUCUUCUUAUCGUUCCAACCUUUAGCCUAAUGGAUAUCGUGCGAUUGAUCAUCGCGUGAUCCUCUCUUUCAAUGGAACUGCUGGUAUCGAAGAAUAUGCUCGUUACGAUAGCUUCUAAUUCGCAGAUCGAAGGCGUGACACGGAAGAUACAUCGGAUCACCUUCGAUUUUAAGCAACCCAAUGGUGUGUAAUGGUCGACCAGUGAAUUUCGCUGUAGCACCGAUUUUUACCAGCUUGAAUAGGCCAGCUUCCGGUGUUUUCGAACCGCUGAACUUCUCUAACAAAAGUGUAGUCAAGGUGUAAAGAGGACACGGACCAACUCGUGCCAACUUUACUCUUUAAGGCGGCUGCGUAAUUUCAUUAUCCCAAGAGGGAUGAAUUCCAUAGCGAAGGACAAACUUGGUUGCUUCAAAGAAAUAUCUAAGAACCUUUAAGAAUAUUUGCGAAUCAUGGUGAAAUAUGCAAAUGUCUAUGACCACGAGAUAAAGAAGGACAGAAAUCCUAUGAGCAAAUUAUAAAUCUAACUUGAUCGAAGAGUAAAAAAGAUCGUGUGUUUGUUCGAUUUUGCAUAGAACCUAGAACGUAUUUCCUCGAGAGCAGUGGGUCACCUAUUCUAGUCAGCAUGAUACCGGCCAGAUGAAAUCCUAGAUCGACGGUUACCAUAACGACCAACGGCUCUCCCUUUAUUAUUUCCCUACAUCACGCUCGUGUACACUGCAGUACACUACCAGAUCUUCCGCAUCCCCUGUCCCACCGUCCCAUGUGAUUACAGGACGAGAUGCUUUCAUUCACAACCCCCUAGCGUUCUAUUUUCUUUCUUUUUUCAUCGUAGCUUUUCUAUCGCGCCGCCUAUACUCGACAGAUUGCAUAGUACGUUUCGGUAAAUUCAAUGAAGAAACGUCGAUUCGUUUUUGACCGGUAAUAAUAUUUCAAUCCACGCUUGCGACUGAUUCGAUCGUCCAACACUGUCUGUCAAUCCCUCCACCCAUCCUUCUAAAUUCACGACCGAAUGAAAACGACAAUGGGCUUUCGAUUGAACUUUUGACAAUCGUCAAGGAGAAUAAUGAAACGCUAAAGUCUCGUAUUGUUAGCUAUUAAUCCUUCUCCCUCUAUGCGUAAGAUAUAAAUGAACUUAUCAAACUUUUUUCUGCUUUAGGAAAAUGCUGAAUCUAGGUCCUGAUACUACAUCGAACGAGGUCGAUUCAUAUAUAUGUAUAUAUAUAUACAAUAUAUAUUUGCUAGGCCAACUUGUAUAUACACAUAAGGAAACAAUGUCGAGUUUUACGCAACACGCAAACACGCGAACGUGACCGUUCCUUAGCGAGAUAAUACAUAAACCUUGUAUGCCUGUUUGCAAAAACAUUUUUCUAGGAUUAGCAGGAUCGCCGUGUAACGAGGAAAAAGUCCGAAGACCAAGGUAACCAAGACCUUGAAAACGAAACGCAGAAUGAAAAGAAGCUAUCUGUCUUUAAACGUAAUGUUUCGCGUCAUACCUGGACGAUGCAUCAUCGUUUCUUGUGCAACAUCCUUCGUUUCAUUGCAUUCGAUUCAAGCCUGAUGUUUCGUAUUCGCCGAUCUAUCUGCUUUUCUUAUUUUAAUAGGCGUAAACAUCGCGAAAAAAAAUAAUUAUGGACAAUUAAAACGACGAAGAGGUAUCCAUUCGCUUCAGAACAGAAGAAAGCGUUACGCAGUCCGUUCUCUUUUUAUAUAACAAUUGGUAGAACGUCGGCGAACUUGGAAAGCAUCAUUUAUUUGCAACGGAAUCAGAAAAAACAGCAUAAAGUUCAGUAAUUAAACAGCCAUGCAGUUUGCCAGGGGGGAGGGACGCAGGACAUCCUACGAAUUACUCGUCAUCGUGUUACAUCAUUGGUCAUGGAUCCAAUAAUAGACGACGAUGAAUAGAAAACGUUUAAUAUUGUUGAUCGUAAAAUUCAACUGAGAACUAUAAGAAUGGGUGCCAUGAUAAUCGCGCUAACAGUCGGCUUACGAUUGCUUUAACAACUUAAUUAAAUGUACGAUAAAAGCAUUAUUG